This 1199-nucleotide ribosomal RNA is filed under the name uncultured fungus. RNAcentral's name for it is "eukaryotic LSU rRNA". The stretch from base 548 to 1199 matches the Rfam family "Eukaryotic large subunit ribosomal RNA", at positions 1 to 667 of the family's 3401-position model. Lineage: Eukaryota; Fungi. The record is from RNAcentral.
CUUGGUCAUUUAGAGGAAGUAAAAGUCGUAACAAGGUUUCCGUAGGUGAACCUGCGGAAGGAUCAUUAAAGAGAACGGGCGAAAGCCCAACCUCCAACCCUUUGUCGUAAACCACUAGUUGCCUUGCCUUAAGUCGGUUGACUGAGGCGUGGGUUUCCCACGCCGCGUCACGCCGGCCUCUUGGGCGAUGGAUCUUUAAACUCGAAUAUCAGUGUAGUCUGAGUAUAAAUUCAAUGAAUUAAAACUUUCAACAACGGAUCUCUUGGUUCUGGCAUCGAUGAAGAACGCAGCGAAAUGCGAUAAGUAAUGUGAAUUGCAGAAUUCAGUGAAUCAUCGAAUCUUUGAACGCACAUUGCGCCCCUUGGUAUUCCGGGGGGCAUGCCUGUUCGAGCGUCAUUACAACCCUCAAGCUUUGCUUGGUCUUGGGCCCUGCCGGCAACGGCGGGCCUUAAAAUCAGUGGCGGCGCCAUCGUGCUCUCAGCGUAGUAAUUCUUCUCGCUGUUGGGUCCCGGUGGACGCUGGCCAGCAACCCCCAAUUUUCUAUGGUUGACCUCGGAUCAGGUAGGGAUACCCGCUGAACUUAAGCAUAUCAAUAAGCGGAGGAAAAGAAACCAACAGGGAUUGCCUCAGUAACGGCGAGUGAAGCGGCAACAGCUCAAAUUUGAAAUCUGGCUCUUUCAGGGUCCGAGUUGUAAUUUGUAGAAGAUGCUUCGGGUGUGGCUCCGGUCUAAGUUCCUUGGAACAGGACGUCAUAGAGGGUGAGAAUCCCGUAUGUGACUGGCUGCCUCCGCCCAUGUGAAGCUCUUUCGACGAGUCGAGUUGUUUGGGAAUGCAGCUCAAAAUGGGUGGUAAAUUUCAUCUAAAGCUAAAUAUUGGCCAGAGACCGAUAGCGCACAAGUAGAGUGAUCGAAAGAUGAAAAGCACUUUGGAAAGAGAGUUAAACAGUACGUGAAAUUGUUGAAAGGGAAGCGCUUGCAAUCAGACUUGCGCGCGGUCGAUCAUCCGAUGUUCUCACCGGUGCACUCGACCGUGCUCAGGCCAGCAUCGGUUUCGGUGGUUGGAUAAAGGCCUUGGGAAUGUGGCUCCUCUCGGGGAGUGUUAUAGCCCUCGGUGCAAUGCAGCCUACCGGGACCGAGGACCGCGCUUCGGCUAGGAUGCUGGCGUAAUGGUUGUAAGCGACCCGUCUUGAAACACGGACC